CAGUAGCCGCGGUAAUACAGAGGGUGCGAGCGUUAAUCGGAUUUACUGGGCGUAAAGCGUGCGUAGGCGGCUUCUUAAGUCGGAUGUGAAAUCCCUGAGCUUAACUUAGGAAUUGCAUUCGAUACUGGGAAGCUAGAGUAUGGGAGAGGAUGGUAGAAUUCCAGGUGUAGCGGUGAAAUGCGUAGAGAUCUGGAGGAAUACCGAUGGCGAAGGCAGCCAUCUGGCCUAAUACUGACGCUGAGGUGCGAAAGCGUGGGGAGCAAACAGGAUUAGAUACCCGUGUAGUCCCUGUCUCUUAUAA
RNAcentral lists this ribosomal RNA (301 nucleotides) under uncultured bacterium. RNAcentral's name for it is "partial 16S ribosomal RNA". It matches the Rfam family "Bacterial small subunit ribosomal RNA", at positions 509 to 809 of the family's 1533-position model. The record is from RNAcentral.